RNAcentral lists this unclassified non-coding RNA (334 nucleotides) under soil metagenome. RNAcentral's name for it is "partial contains 5.8S ribosomal RNA, internal transcribed spacer 2, and large subunit ribosomal RNA". The stretch from base 1 to 120 matches the Rfam family "5.8S ribosomal RNA", at positions 35 to 154 of the family's 154-position model. The record is from RNAcentral.
GAUGAAGAACGUAGCGAAAUGCUAUAAGUAAUGUGAAUUGCAGAAUUCAGUGAAUCAUCGAAUCUUUGAACGCACAUUGCGCCCGCCAGUAUUCUGGCGGGCAUGCCUGUUCGAGCGUCAUUUCAACCAUCAAGCCCUGCUUGCGUUGGGGUCCUGCGGCUGCCCGCAGGCCCUGAAAACCAGUGGCGGGCUCGCUAGUCACACCGAGCGCAGUAAUACAUCUCGCUUUGGGCGUGCGGCGGGUUCUUGCCGUUAAACACCCCCUUUUUACCAAGGUUGACCUCGGAUCAGGUAGGAAUACCCGCUGAACUUAAGCAUAUCAAUAAGCGGAGGA